Molecule: long non-coding RNA, 1331 nt
Filed under: Homo sapiens (human)
Lineage: Eukaryota; Metazoa; Chordata; Mammalia; Primates; Hominidae
Description: SLC44A3 antisense RNA 1
Source: RNAcentral
CUCUGCGCCUGGCCCGGCGACUGCGGGCGCUGCGGUCCACUGGGUCCGCCUCUUCCCGGCAUGGGUUUCUGCCCAGCUCACCCGCUGUCAGCUGGGGUCCUGCUCUGGUGGGAGGAAGAGGCUCAGACGCUUCCCUGCCCUCUCGCCUCAACCACCUCGAGGCAGCGGCUCCCAGGAUGUGCACUUUGACGACUAAAGCUGAGCCGGCGCCGCCACGACCUUGGGCGGGUGGUCGGCCUCUGCCCUGAGCAGGAAGUAGAAAGUCUCAGCAGACCCUUCCUGAGGGCCGAGCAACAGUGUAGUGGCGUAUUCCACAUAGCAAACAGGUGAAUUCCUUGGAAGAUGAGGGCCAAGUCUUAUUCUUCUCAGUCUCUUCUGCAUCUAGCAGAAGAAUAAUGGUUGCACAGAAAAUCUUGGUUCAGUGGUUGAGUGAAUGAAUGGAUGAACAGGCUCUUGCACACAAAGAAGAGACAUGAUGUAUUUGCAUCCUUCCCUGCUUCAGCCAGGUCCCCAGACAGUCCCGGUGUGCACACUUCCCUGCUUCUGUUCAUGAUGUUCUCUGAACCUGGGAUCACCUUUCCCCUUCCUCUUACCUGCCCGAUCCUACUUGUCCUCCCAGAUUCAGUUUUCUGAAGCUCAGAGGGACACCUUGUAUUGCUGGAUGAUAAAAACAGGAGCAAAGUGAUGAAGUGCUGACAAGGCAACAAUAGAACAUGAGAGAUUCACUGCUGUGUAGGAAGAGAUCUUCGGUGACCAUGUAGCCUGAAGCUCUCAUUUUGUCAUCGAGGGACACCAAAACUCAGAACAGCAGCAGCUCACGCUGCUGAUGCAACACAGGUGAAGAGCACCUUCCCCUCCCCCACCUGUGGGCUGAUUCCCACCACGUGGAUCCCAAGGCCAUCCCAGGAACUCUUUGGAGGGGAGAAGCCCAGUGGAAACUGUCAGGCCUCUGAGCACAAGCCAAGCCAUCGCAUCCCCUGUGACUUGCACGUAUAUGCCCAGAUGGCCUGAAGUAACUGAAGAAUCACAAAAGAAGUGAAAAGGCCCUGCCCCACCUUAACUGAUGACAUUCCACCAUUGUGAUUUGUUCCUGCCCCACCUUCACUGAGUGAUUAACCCUGUGAAUUUCCUUCUCCUGGCUCAGAAGCUCCCCCACUGAGCACCUUGUGACCCCCGCCCCUGCCCACCAGAGAACAACCCCCUUUGACUGUAAUUUUCCAUUACCUUCCCAAAUCCUAUAAAACGGCCCCACCCCUAUCUCCCUUCGCUGACUCUCUUUUCGGACUCAGCCCGCCUGCACCCAGGUGAAAUAAACAGCCAUGUUGCUCACA